AGAGUUUGAUCAUGGCUCAGAUUGAACGCUGGCGGCGUGCCUAACACAUGCAAGUCGAGCGGUAACAGGUGUAGCAAUACAUGCUGACGAGCGACGAACGGGUGAGUAAUGCUUUGGAAUCUUCCCAGUAGUGGGGAACAACCAGUCGAAAGAUUGGCUAAUACCGCAUACGUCUGUGAAGAGAAAGCGGGGGAUCGUAAGACCUCGCGCUAUUGGAUGAGCCAAAGUCGGAUUAGCUUGUUGGUGGGGUAAUGGCCUACCAAGGCGACAAUCCGUAGCUGGUCUGAGAGGACGACCAGCCACACCGGAACUGAGACACGGUCCGGACUCCUACGGGAGGCAGCAGUGGGGAAUAUUGGACAAUGGGGGAAACCCUGAUCCAGCGACGCCGCGUGUGUGAAGAAGGCCUGCGGGUUGUAAAGCACUUUUAGUGGGGACAAAAAGCUACGGACUAACACUCUGUGGUCUUGAUUUAACCCAAAGAAAAAGCACCGGCUAAUUCUGUGCCAGCAGCCGCGGUAAUACAGAGGGUGCGAGCGUUAAUCGGAAUUACUGGGCGUAAAGCGCGCGUAGACGGUUUUGUAAGUCAGAUGUGAAAUCCCCGGGCUCAACCUGGGAACUGCAUUUGAGACUGCAUGGCUAGAGUAUCGAAGAGGGAAGUGGAAUUUCCGGUGUAGCGGUGAAAUGCGUAGAUAUCGGAAGGAACACCAGUGGCGAAAGCGACUUCCUGGUCGAAUACUGACGUUCAUGUGCGAAAGCGUGGGGAGCAAACAGGAUUAGAUACCCUGGUAGU
This 793-nucleotide ribosomal RNA is filed under the name uncultured Nitrosovibrio sp. RNAcentral's name for it is "bacterial SSU rRNA". It matches the Rfam family "Bacterial small subunit ribosomal RNA", at positions 8 to 794 of the family's 1533-position model. The record is from RNAcentral. Lineage: Bacteria; Pseudomonadati; Pseudomonadota; Betaproteobacteria; Nitrosomonadales; Nitrosomonadaceae.